CAGGACUGGGACUACAAGCCGCAGUCCCCAGAUUCUCCGUCCGGGAAACCAUCAGCAAAUUAUAAAUGUCGGACUUUCAAUGCUUUCCUUCGAAAUCUGACACUCAUUCGGCAGCGACAGUUGACUGAACUUGUAGACAAUGUGAUUUGAAACCUCAAUACAGGAGCAUGGAUUAAACUUUCUUUAAAAAACACAUCUGUAAAUAAAGAACCUGUUAUCAGCAAAA
Molecule: long non-coding RNA, 226 nt
Organism: Carcharodon carcharias (great white shark)
Lineage: Eukaryota; Metazoa; Chordata; Chondrichthyes; Lamniformes; Lamnidae
Exons: 2
Source: RefSeq, a predicted model, not a curated record